This is a long non-coding RNA of Neofelis nebulosa (Clouded leopard), 6807 nucleotides long. RefSeq lists it as uncharacterized. The record is from RefSeq and is a predicted model, not a curated record. The transcript is spliced from 5 exons. NCBI's taxonomy places the organism in Eukaryota, Metazoa, Chordata, Mammalia, Carnivora, Felidae.
GGGGGAGUUUAGGGAGGAGUUUAGGGAGGGUAUCGGACAGUCAGAGGAGAGCCUAAAGUAGCACAAAGGCGGUAGCCACACUCAUCAUGGCGGCCAAAGGGCGACCGAGCGGAGGGGGGCGGAGCCACUCCUGGCGGUUGGGGCACGUUGCCGUCUCCGUCGUCGCAUUUAUUGGUUUGUUUGAGAAGGAAUCAGAAAGGCAAUGGGUGGAAGUGGACGUCGGUCAAAGUUAGUCCCGCCUCCAGACUCUCAACGCGCUUCUCGGCGCCGGGACUCCUUCAAGAUCGCCAGUGCCUGCCUUGCUCGGUUUGCCCUUUUCUCCGGGGUGACGUCACGGCGUAACCGUCACACCCUCGAGACGUGCGAACGGCUCCGCAGGGUGUGGAGAAGGUGGAGGGUGCAGUUGGGUGAGGUAGCCUUGGGGUGUGGACUCCUGCCUGCUGGGCUGAAAGGCCUUGAGCUACGGGACGCAAUGGAACUGGGAAGCUUACCGUUUGACGACGCUUGUUCCAAGGCGGAAGUGCUCGCUGCAGCCUCUGUCGCCGCCCUCUCUGUAACCUUGUUGGGCUGGGCGGGGAGUUCCUGCCCAUUCUCAACCUUGGGUCCGGAGCUCAAAUGACCACCCAUCUUGGGGGCCUCGAAGAGUUGGGCUUUUUUCCCCCUGCCGCGGCUUGGGCCAUUAGGCAAGUGAGAUUCGGCCCAUGCGGUUUGGCGUCGUUUCAAGGGCCUUGACUUUUGUGUCACCUCCCCGAAUUUGAGUUUUCUCUGGCUGACCACGUAGGUCCCCUGGGGAAGUUCCUGAGGGGAAAACUGAUCGCGCUCGGCCAAAUGAAAAAAAGAGGUGCAGCAUGUUUGGGGCUGGGUGCGAAACCGUUCCCUCUUGGACGUAUUUCAGACCCAAUAGUAGUCGUUAAGGAGGAGACCUUCACGCCCUGCCAGGCCCUGGAGCUGAGCUCUGCGGGAGGAGGGCCGCCGACCCCAAGAGUAGUCAACUAGGGGUUGCGGAAACGGAGCUGUUAGGCUUACACCUGGUUGGUGGGACUGGAGGACGUUUCACGAAGGAGGUAGCAUUCGCACCGGACCUGGUAAAGGUAACGUGAUUCCAACAGGUGGGAGUUGAGAACCUAGACUAUUCUGGUUACAGCCGAGGGGCCAUUUCCCAAGUUUGAAGGAACCCAGGCCUUGCUGUAGAAACUGGUUUCUGCCAUUACUACUGACGCCUUUACUGCCGUGUGUUGCCUUUCUUUUUGCAGGGAGAAGAGGGAUGACGAUUAAAUACAUCAGAUAAGAGCUAAACCUGAUGGUAAAGAUUAGAGAGAUCAAGGGCCUCCUUGGACUCCUCCCCUGGACCCUCUGCAUCCAGCCGGCUGGUUAGCUAAGAGAGAGAAAACCACGAAAGGUAGUGAACGCUGGAAAUGGUGUCAGUUAUUUGUUCCCACGUCGUGUUGGUCUGACCCAGUUGUCUGGCCCCAACCUGAGUCAAGCAAACUGGGACAUGGCUUCCUAUGUGCUCAGGAGGAAGAAAUGGGAAUGAUGAGCAUCUGGCCAAUCUCUGCUGCGACUGCUCAUUUUGGUGGCCUCCAGGCCAGAGCUACUGACUUGCUGAGGAAGAGAUGUAGGAGGAUUAUACUCUUGUACACAUUGGAUUUUAUAAAUCCAAAUAUUACCUCUUCAAAUAAAUUAAAAAAGAGGAGACUCGUGGAAUUAUGGGUCAUCCAUACCAUGAAAGAGUGAAGUACAUCUGUACAUACUGGAAUGGAACGAUCUUCAGUGAAGAUGGGCAACAUUUAAAAGCCAGAGAAUACCAAGUGCUGGCCGAAAUAAAGAGCCGCCGAAACUCUCAGACCUUGCUAGGUGGAAUGUCACCGGACGCAACCUCUUUGGAAAGCAGGCAUGUGGACAGAAGAAGCAGACGAGGGAAAGGAAGCAGGGCAGGCAGGCUCCAGGGUUCUCAUUUCCCCGUCUAUCUCCCCAAUCCGUCUAGAUCUUGACCGGGGGAAGCUACAGAAGACAGAUACAGAGAAUACAAAGAACCCAAAAGCAUCAGAGGCUUGUGGACCACUUCCCCAGUAUGGCAUGAGGGAGGCUGCAGGCUGCUAGAAGAAACCUUGCAUUUGGCUCUGCAUCGUGUCCGAAAUACUAAUCGGAAUGGCAAGACGAACGUCGAGCCCGACAACUUCACAAGCACAUUUAGCGCCUUUGCUUGGAUCCUGUCUGCUGACAUCCCAACGGCCGACAUAAGUCACAUACCCGAGCUCAGCGUCAGUGGGGCAGAAAGUAGACUCUCAUGAAGAGAGGAGAGAAAGAAAGGAAUAAAUGUCUUCUGAAUUAUAAUCUAAUCUGUGAUCUUCGGCACAGUGGCCAUAGUAACUCCAGUGAAAAUUCUGGAGUUCUAUUCCUAAGGAAAGGAAGGGAAGCUAGAUUCGGAGGACAAUUUCUGUCACAAUGUGUAUCAGUCAGGAGGCAGUUUCUUCUAGUUUAAUGGAAACGUGAAUGUGUUCCUCGGUGGAAGCAUCCUUCUCUUUGGCACUAGGACCUCCAAACCCACUGAGCCCAAGUUUGCGGAGAUGAGAAGCACAAAAAUUCCUUUAUACAAAGUUCAUUUGAUGUAACAGUGAGGAGGGUCACCCCACUCCAUUCAAUUGACUGAACCACCCAGGUGCCCCUCUCUAAAAAAAAAAAGAAAACAUAAAGAAAAGAGUAAACUUGAACUCAAGGUGAACAGAAGAAAAGAAAUGACAACCAGAAUGAAAUUCAGUGAAAUACUAAACAAAAAACGAGAGAGAAAAAGCCAUGAAACCAAAAACUGAUUCUUUGAGAAAAAAAUCUAUACAGUUGUUAAACUAGUAGACUAAUCAGGAAAAAGUAGAGAAAACACAAAUUACCAAUAUCAGGAAUGAGAGAGAUGACAUCACAGUUUUUACAGAUAUUGAAAGGGUAAUUUAGGAAUAUUAUGAACAACUUAAGGCCAAUAUAUUUAACAAAUGAAAUGGAUGCAUUUCUUGAAAGACACAAACUAUCAAAACUCCUUUCUGAAGGAAUAGAUAAUGCACAUAGAGUUAUAUCCACAUUUUUGAAUUUUUAGUUAAAAUACGCACCCGCCGCCCCCAAAGACAGUGUUGGCAAUGGCCAGAUCAGCUUGGUGAGAGCAAGUCUGUGUUGUUGAGUCCAUCAAUGUCUCCUUUCGUCACCGUGGGCCACUUUGCAAAUGGAUCUAUUAACCAAGCACUAGAGAGUAUCUGAGGAAGAGGCCAUCUGAUGUUCGCAGAUUGUGUCAUCUUGUCCUGAUUACUGAGAGUCUCAUCUACAACAGAUGCCCUUGGGUGAGCAUUUAUAUGGAACAUGAAUAUACUUUGUGGAUCGCAAGAAGUCCAUCUUUCUUUCGACCUCCUUGUCCCCAGCCUUCUAAUCUUGUUCUUUCCAAAUUCCUGACCAGUGGGCCAGGCUAACCCCCAAGUCAGGUUAGAUCUGUGCAUUAACUAGAUCUGCAGUAGAGUUCUGCUCACCGGAGAAUGUCCCUCCUCUACAGGCUUUUGGAGCCACUCCAGAGCCGGCUGUGCUGCAACGCUUCUGGCUGCUUCUGUAAGAAGCCUGCACUUUCCUUUCCUCCACUAACUGACCUUUUUUGUUUUGAGAGAGAGAGAGAGAGAAAGCGAGAGCACGCAAGCUGGGGAAAGGGGGAGAGAGAGAGAGAGAGAGAGAGAGAGAGAGAGAGAGAGAGAGAGAGAGAGAAUGAAUCUUAAGCAGGCUCCAUGCUCAGCUUGGAGCUCGACAUGGGGCUCAAUCCCAUGACUCUGGGAUCAUGACCUGAGCUGAAAUCAAGAGUCAGACGCUCAACCGACUGAGCCACCCAGGCAGCCCUCCUCAUGGCCUUAUCCUUUUCCACCUGCACUUUAUCCCAGGCCACUGCCAUGAUAAUGUGCUUAUUUGUGAGGACACUGCCUGUUAUGGACUGCCAGGGUCCCAUUUCGCCACAACAAGGAGGUUAUCCAUGCCUUCCUCAUAUACAUGAGCAUCUCAGUUCUGGAAUCCUAUUUUUUUUUUUCAACAAUUCUAUACAUUACACACUGCUCACCACAGUAAGUAGGGUUACCAUCUGUCACCAUACAGUAUUAUUACGGUAUUAUUGACUGUACUCCCCAUGCUGUACUUUUCGUCUCCAUGACUUAUUUGUUUUAUAACUGGAAUUUUGUGCCUCUUAAUACUUUUAAUACCUUUCAUCUAUUUCAUCCAUCCUCCCCACCCACCUCCCCUCUGGCAACCACCAGUUUGUUCUCUGCAUUUAUGAGCUUGUUUCUGUUUUUUGGUUUGUUUAUUAUUUGCUUGUUUGUAUGUUUUGCUUUUUAAAUUCCACAUGUAAGUGAAAUCUUACCAUAUUUGUCUUUGUCUGUCUGACUUAUCUUACUUAGCGUAGUACCCUCUAGGUCCAUCCAUGUUGUCACAAAUAGUAAGAUCUCAUUCUUUUUUUUAAGUCUGUGUAAUAGUUCAUUGUUAUAUACCACAUGUUCUUCUUUUUUUAAUGUUUAUUUAUUUUUUAUUUAUUUAAACAUUUAUUUAUUAUUGAGAGACAGAGAGAGACAGAUCGUGAGCAGGGGAGGGGCAGAGAGAGAGGGAGACACAGAAUCCCAAGCAGGCUCCCGGCUCUGAGCUCGGCACAGAGCCCGACGCGGGGCUCGAACUCACACAGUGUGAGAUUAUGACCUGAGCCAAAGUCUGGCGCUCAACCGACUGAGCCACCCAGGUGCCCCUAUACCAAAUGUUCUUUAUCCACGGAAUCAUUUUUCCCCCCAUGGAAUCUUAUUUCAAAACCACUUCUAAUACCAAUGAUUGUACUAGUCAGGUCCCAAAAGGAAGUAAGUGGCACACUCAAAAUGGAUAACUUGAGAGUUUGAUAAAGGAGGUUUUUGCGGAGUCAUGGUCAGGGAAUAGGGAAUCCAAAAAGAAUGUGCAGUAGUCCAGGAUUGGCAACCUUGGGGAGCAAAACAGCCCUAGGCCAUGAAGGAGCAAGGAGACAGGGGACUACUGGGACCAGAGAAGGUAAGUGAAGGAGAAAGCUACCUGAAAGUAGCUAUAGCCUUUGAUAGGAAGUUAGCCCUCAGCAAGCUCUCAAGAAGGGAGGCAAGCGAAUAAAUACCCCAACUUCCAUCUCUUCCUACUCUCUGAUCUCCUGCUGGUGCCUCCCAUUGGCCAACAGAAAACCAGUGGACAAAGGGAGCCUACUGAUGUCAUCUUUGAAGGUCAAUACUCUGAGGCACAGAUCCUGGUGGAGAACAAGGGGAGGAGAAGGGGAGGAGGAGACCUAUCUAGCACACAACCCAAACAAGUUAAACAGGGAAUUUACUGGUUCCUGCAAAGUCAAGCUGUAAGGCUUGAAGCAAGGGCUCAAAUGAAGUCAUCAGUGUCUGGUUUUUCCUCCAUCCACAGGUUUCAUAUACAGGCAGGCUCUCCCAUCAUGCUCCAAAAUGGCUCCAGAAUGCACAGCCUUUUUCAUUCAAACGUAGUGGAAUCUGUCAAAGGAUUCAUUGGGUCUCAUUGACUCUCAUUGGGUCACAUGAAAUGCCUGAACCAACCGCAGUGCUUAGGAUCAAAGAGAAGUGCUGCUUGGCUUAGAUCUCUGGAGCUAGGACUGGGUGAAAUCAUGGCAUGGAACCUGGAUGACUAGGGAAAAGUUGAUAUUGAAUAGCCAAAAUGCUACAUACCCUGUAUCAUCUUUUAAUGGUUGAGGCAGAACUUUUCCAUUUUUUUUCUAUCUGUGGAUCAUCUGGAGAUCCUGUUAAAAGUGCAGAAUCUGAUGAAGUAGGUCUGGGGUGGGGCAAAUUAAUUUCAUCUGUUUCUUUUUACUUUUUUAACAUGGUUACUAGAGCAUUAAAAAAUACAUGUGUUUCUGUUGGAUAGUGCUAUCCUAGAAGGAGGUAAUGAAGUGGAUGAAGGUGUUGAUCUUGAAACACAUUCAUUUUCACUUAUGAAUACUCAAUCAGAAGAACCAAAUAUAGCAGAGACCACAUGAGACUUACCUCAUGGGUCCUUGGACUUGGUCCACCCUCAGGACCUCAGGGUUAUGUGGUUGCAGGUUGAAUUCAUGCAUGAGUGCUUAGGAUAGAGGACACUGGAACGAGCCUGGUACGGUUUGACCCGAGGAAAGAGGAAAUGCUGGGGAUCCCAGAGUUGCUCCCCCCAACCAGCAGUCACUUCAUUUCCCAUUUUUGUUUACGCGGUUGUCUGAAUUACAGGAAUUACAACUGUGCUUAUCAACUUCCCCGAUCUGUCCUGCACACAUCCACUCAACUGAUCUCUGCACUCCCUUUUAGCCCUUUCCUGCCCAGACAUAUGCACCCAGCUGCAGUCUGCUUUCUAGGAACUCCCUACUGAACCCAGAAUGUCUUGUCCUACCAGUCCACGGGCCCCCAAAUGUGUCUCUCACUUUCCCCAUCUGUCUAAGUUAUUCCCUUACUGCUUGAAUCUCUGUCUCCACCAGCUCCACCUUUCAAAGCCCACGUCAAGGUUAUCUGCCUCCAGAGAGGCCUUUUCAAGACCUGGCCCACAGAAGCCUGCCUUCAGAACUUGUAGGACAUGCUGUCUUUGGCCAGCGUAUCUGCUAUGGAGGGCUGUGUCGUCUAACUCUUAAGUUAUUAGGGUUUUCCUGCAUUUGUGCCUUGAUUCUUUGGGCUGUAAGUUCCUUGAGGACAGAGCCCUGUUUAGUUUAUAUUUGAAUUCCCCUUUUGACCAGGGCCUGUAUAAUAAAUAGAUCCUCAAAAAUAUAAUUUGGCUCAUUUUCCCAAUACAAAACAAAACGCUAGUUGAAAAUAC